RNAcentral lists this signal recognition particle RNA (98 nucleotides) under Lentilactobacillus hilgardii ATCC 27305. Its description in RNAcentral is "Lactobacillus brevis subsp. gravesensis ATCC 27305 bacterial signal recognition particle RNA". The stretch from base 3 to 89 matches the Rfam family "Bacterial small signal recognition particle RNA". From Rfam's summary of the family: The signal recognition particle (SRP) is a universally conserved ribonucleoprotein involved in the co-translational targeting of proteins to membranes. Archaeal SRP consists of a 7S RNA and homologues of the eukaryotic SRP19 and SRP54 proteins. Lineage: Bacteria; Bacillati; Bacillota; Bacilli; Lactobacillales; Lactobacillaceae. The record is from RNAcentral.
AGGCCCUGAGGCAAGGGUCGGGUUACGAACUGUGUCAGGUCCGGAAGGAAGCAGCACUAAGUAUCAUCGACACUGUGCCUCUUGUUUAUGACUAUUAG